UUUUCUCAUAUAUACAAUGGAUAUAACAGAGAUAUCCAUCCCCCACCAUGUAAGCUCAAGACAAUGAAUUUCUCAGCCCACUAACUCAAAUCUAGUCCUGGAGCUGUGCUCAUGGGGUAGCAGAAUGGUGGUGGACCAAAGACUUGUAGAAUAGAAUAGGCCUCUUUCUGGCUGGCAAGAAAAGGGUGCUUGAAGUAGGCAGGACAGGACUCCCAUUCUCAUGAAACUGGAUAACUGGUUGGCCCAAGCUCAGGAAGACACUGUGACACCCCCACUUAUGU
RNAcentral lists this long non-coding RNA (281 nucleotides) under Homo sapiens (human). RNAcentral's name for it is "HSALNT0067908". The record is from RNAcentral. Lineage: Eukaryota; Metazoa; Chordata; Mammalia; Primates; Hominidae.